GAUGAACGCUGGCGGCGUGCCUAAUACAUGCCAGUUGAGCGAUGAAGAUUGGUGCUUGCACCUCUUUGAAGAGCAGCGAACGGGUGAGUAACGCGUGGGGAAUCUGCCUUUGAGAGGGGGACAACAUUUGGAAACGAAUGCUAAUACCGCAUAAUAACUUUAAACAUAAGUUUCAAGUUUGAAAGAUGCAAUUGCAUCACUCAAAGAAGAUAUCGCGUUGUAUUAGCCAGUUGGUGAGGUAAAGGCUCACCAAGGGGAAGAUACAUAACCGACCCGAGAGGGUGAUCGGCCACAACGGGAAUGAGACACCGCCCAAACUCCUACGGGGAGGCGCAGGAGGGGAUCUUUGGCAAUUGAGGGAAGGCUGACCGGGCAACGGCGCGUGGGUGAAGAAAGGUUUCGGGUCGGUAAACUCUGUUGGUAAGGAAGGACGUAGGUGAGAAUGGAAAGCUCAUCAAGUGACGGUAACUACUCAGAAAGGGACGGCUAACUACGUG
Molecule: ribosomal RNA, 497 nt
Filed under: uncultured bacterium
Lineage: Bacteria
Description: partial 16S ribosomal RNA
Rfam family: Bacterial small subunit ribosomal RNA
Source: RNAcentral